GGAUGAGCCUGCGUCGGAUUAGCUAGUUGGUGGGGUAAUGGCCUACCAAGGCGACGAUCCGUAGCGGGUCUGAGAGGGUGAUCCCCCACACUGGUACUGAGACACGGACCAGACUCCUACGGGAGGCAGCAGUAAGGAAUAUUGGUCAAUGGGCGCAAGCCUGAACCAGCCACGCCGCGUGAAGGAUGACGGCCCUAUGGGUUGUAAACUUCUUUUCUACGGGAAUAAACCUCAUCACGUGUGAUGAGCUGAAGGUACUGUAGGAAUAAGCAUCGGCUAACUCCGUGCCAGCAGCCGCGGUAAUACGGAGGAUGCAAGCGUUAUCCGGAUUCAUUGGGUUUAAAGGGUGCGUAGGCGGGACGGUAAGUCAGGGGUGAAAGCCAACAGCUCAACUGUUGAAUUGCCUUUGUUACUGCCGUUCUUGAGUGUGGUUGAAGUGGGCGGAAUUUGACAUGUAGCGGUGAAAUGCGUAGAUAUGUCAAGGAACACCGAUUGCGAAAGCAGCUCACUAAGCCAUUACUGACGCUGAGGCACGAAAGCGUGGGG
Molecule: ribosomal RNA, 546 nt
Filed under: uncultured Bacteroidota bacterium
Lineage: Bacteria; Pseudomonadati; Bacteroidota
Description: bacterial SSU rRNA
Rfam family: Bacterial small subunit ribosomal RNA
Source: RNAcentral